RNAcentral lists this ribosomal RNA (180 nucleotides) under Clostridioides difficile. RNAcentral describes it as "partial 23S ribosomal RNA". It matches the Rfam family "Bacterial large subunit ribosomal RNA", at positions 1275 to 1455 of the family's 2925-position model. The record is from RNAcentral. Lineage: Bacteria; Bacillati; Bacillota; Clostridia; Peptostreptococcales; Peptostreptococcaceae.
GACAGGUAUGGGAGUGAGAAUGUUGGCAUGAGUAGCGAGAUGUGGGUGAGAAUCCCACAGGCCGUAAACCCAAGGUUUCCAGGGGAAGGUGCGUCCGCCCUGGGUUAGUCGGGACCUAAGCUGAGGCCGAAAGGCGUAGGUGAUGGACAACAGGUUGAUAUUCCUGUACUACCGAUAACC